AGUGGCGAACGGGUGAGUAACACGUGAGUAACCUGCCCUUGACUCUGGGAUAAGCCUGGGAAACCGGGUCUAAUACCGGAUAUGACCUGUCACCGCAUGGUGGUGGGUGGAAAGAUUUUUUGGUCUUGGAUGGACUCGCGGCCUAUCAGCUUGUUGGUGGGGUAAUGGCCUACCAAGGCGACGACGGGUAGCCGGCCUGAGAGGGUGACCGGCCACACUGGGACUGAGACACGGCCCAGACUCCUACGGGAGGCAGCAGUGGGGAAUAUUGCACAAUGGGCGCAAGCCUGAUGCAGCGACGCCGCGUGAGGGAUGAAUGCCUUCGGGUUGUAAACCUCUUUCAGCAGGGAAGAAGCGAAAGUGACGGUACCUGCAGAAGAAGCGCCGGCUAACUACGUGCCAGCAGCCGCGGUAAUACGUAGGGCGCAAGCGUUGUCCGGAAUUAUUGGGCGUAAAGAGCUCGUAGGCGGUUUGUCGCGUCUGCUGUGAAAGCCCGGGGCUCAACCCCGGGUCUGCAGUGGGUACGGGCAGACUAGAGUGCAGUAGGGGAGACUGGAAUUCCUGGUGUAGCGGUGAAAUGCGCAGAUAUCAGGAGGAACACCGAUGGCGAAGGCAGGUCUCUGGGCUGUAACUGACGCUGAGGAGCGAAAGCAUGGGGAGCGAACAGGAUUAGAUACCCUGGUAGUCCAUGCCGUAAACGUUGGGCACUAGGUGUGGGGGACAUUCCACGUUUUCCGCGCCGUAGCUAACGCAUUAAGUGCCCCGCCUGGGGAGUACGGCCGCAAGGCUAAAACUCAAAGGAAUUGACGGGGGCCCGCACAAGCGGCGGAGCAUGCGGAUUAAUUCGAUGCAACGCGAAGAACCUUACCAAGGCUUGACAUGGGCCGGACCGGGCUGGAAACAGUCCUUCCCUUCGGGGCCGGUUCACAGGUGGUGCAUGGUUGUCGUCAGCUCGUGUCGUGAGAUGUUGGGUUAAGUCCCGCAACGAGCGCAACCCUCGUUCCAUGUUGCCAGCGCGUAAUGGCGGGGACUCAUGGGAGACUGCCGGGGUCAACUCGGAGGAAGGUGGGGACGACGUCAAAUCAUCAUGCCCCUUAUGUCUUGGGCUUCACGCAUGCUACAAUGGCCGGUACAAUGGGUUGCGAUACUGUGAGGUGGAGCUAAUCCCAAAAAGCCGGUCUCAGUUCGGAUUGGGGUCUGCAACUCGACCCCAUGAAGUCGGAGUCGCUAGUAAUCGCAGAUCAGCAACGCUGCGGUGAAUACGUUCCCGGGCCUUGUACACACCGCCCGUCAAGUCACG
RNAcentral lists this ribosomal RNA (1300 nucleotides) under Arthrobacter sp. RNAcentral describes it as "bacterial SSU rRNA". It matches the Rfam family "Bacterial small subunit ribosomal RNA", at positions 94 to 1406 of the family's 1533-position model. The record is from RNAcentral. Lineage: Bacteria; Bacillati; Actinomycetota; Actinomycetes; Micrococcales; Micrococcaceae.